RNAcentral lists this ribosomal RNA (253 nucleotides) under uncultured bacterium. Its description in RNAcentral is "partial 16S ribosomal RNA". It matches the Rfam family "Bacterial small subunit ribosomal RNA", at positions 524 to 776 of the family's 1533-position model. The record is from RNAcentral.
UACGUAGGGACCGAGCGUUGUCCGGAUUCAUUGGGCGUAAAGGGCUCGUAGGUGGCCAACUAAGUCAGACGUGAAAUCCCUCGGCUUAACCGGGGAACUGCGUCUGAUACUGGAUGGCUUGAGUUCGGGAGAGGGAUGCGGAAUUCCAGGUGUAGCGGGGAAAUGCGUAGAUAUCUGGAGGAACACCGGUGGCGAAGGCGGCAUCCUGGAUUGGUAUUGACGCUGAGGAGCGAAAGCUAGGGGAGCAAACGGG